RNAcentral lists this ribosomal RNA (281 nucleotides) under Escherichia coli. RNAcentral's name for it is "partial 23S ribosomal RNA". It matches the Rfam family "Bacterial large subunit ribosomal RNA", at positions 1 to 273 of the family's 2925-position model. Lineage: Bacteria; Pseudomonadati; Pseudomonadota; Gammaproteobacteria; Enterobacterales; Enterobacteriaceae. The record is from RNAcentral.
GGGUUGUGAGGUUAAGCGACUAAGCGUACACGGUGGAUGCCCUGGCAGUCAGAGGCGAUGAAGGACGUGCUAAUCUGCGAUAAGCGUCGGUAAGGUGAUAUGAACCGUUAUAACCGGCGAUUUCCGAAUGGGGAAACCCAGUGUGUUUCGACACACUAUCAUUAACUGAAUCCAUAGGUUAAUGAGGCGAACCGGGGGAACUGAAACAUCUAAGUACCCCGAGGAAAAGAAAUCAACCGAGAUUCCCCCAGUAGCGGCGAGCGAACGGGGAGCAGCCCAGA